GUACUCGCUUCAGCAACACAUAUACUAAAAUGGGAAUGAUACAGAGAACAUGAGCAUGACCCCUGCACAAGGAUGACAUGCAAAUUCAUGAAACAUUCCAUAUUUUU
Small nuclear RNA from Papio anubis (olive baboon), 107 nucleotides. NCBI's taxonomy places the organism in Eukaryota, Metazoa, Chordata, Mammalia, Primates, Cercopithecidae. The record is from Ensembl.